RNAcentral lists this ribosomal RNA (468 nucleotides) under uncultured bacterium. RNAcentral's name for it is "partial 16S ribosomal RNA". It matches the Rfam family "Bacterial small subunit ribosomal RNA", at positions 28 to 507 of the family's 1533-position model. The record is from RNAcentral.
GACGAACGCUGGCGGCGUGCUUAACACAUGCAGGUCGAACGGAAAGGCCCUGCUUUUGUGGGGUGCUCGAGUGGCGAACGGGUGAGUAACACGUGAGUAACCUGCCCUUGACUUUGGGAUAACUUCAGGAAACUGGGGCUAAUACCGGAUAGGAGCUCCUGCUGCAUGGUGGGGGUUGGAAAGUUUCGGCGGUUGGGGAUGGACUCGCGGCUUAUCAGCUUGUUGGUUGGGUAGUGGCUUACCAAGGCUUUGACGGGUAGCCGGCCUGAGAGGGUGACCGGCCACGUUGGGACUGAGAUGCGGCCCAGACUAGUACGGGAGGCAGCAGUGGGGAAUAGUGCACAAUGGGCGGAAGCCUGAUGCAGCAACGCCGCGUGCGGGAUGACGGCAUUCGGGUUGUAAACCGCUUUCGCCUGUGACGAAGCGUGAGUGACGGUAAUGGGUAAAGAAGCACCGGCUAACUACGUG